RNAcentral lists this long non-coding RNA (261 nucleotides) under Capsella rubella. Its description in RNAcentral is "long non-coding RNA (CRUB_LNC003111)". The record is from RNAcentral. Lineage: Eukaryota; Viridiplantae; Streptophyta; Magnoliopsida; Brassicales; Brassicaceae.
UAAAAGAAAGGACCGACAGUAAACCCUAACUAUACCCGAUUCCCGAUUCCCUCUUUUAAUUUCAAUUUAAAAUUGAAAUUUUUAGAAAAUUCGUAAGUGUAGGAAAAAUAAAAAUAAAAAUAAAAAUGGACCAAACAACAAACACGUGAUCCACAUUAGACACGUGUAACCGCCAAAAGACACAUGUGUAGCCGCCAAAAUGCACUAGUUGUACCAAAAUUAUAAGUUGUACUCGUUUUGGCAAGUUGUACUUUUUCACUU